GUCUACGGCCACACCAGUGUGAAUGCGCCUGAUCUCGGAAACUAAAUACACUUGGGCUCGAUCAGUACUUGGUUGGGAGACCAUCUGGGAACCCCAAGUACUGUAAGCU
Molecule: ribosomal RNA, 109 nt
Filed under: Erpetoichthys calabaricus (reedfish)
Lineage: Eukaryota; Metazoa; Chordata; Cladistia; Polypteriformes; Polypteridae
Source: RNAcentral